UACAGAGGGUGCGAGCGUUAAUCGGAAUUACUGGGCGUAAAGCGUGCGUAGACGGUAGCGUAAGUCAGAUGUGAAAGCCCCGGGCUCAACCUGGGAAUUGCAUUUGAGACUGCUCUGCUCGGGUGCGGAAGAGGGAAGCGGAAUUUCCGGUGUAGCGGUGAAAUUCGUAGAUAUUGGGAAGAACACCGGUGGCGAAGGCGGCGACCUGGUCCGACACUGACGCUGAGGCGCGAAAGCGUGGGGAGCAAACAGG
Molecule: ribosomal RNA, 253 nt
Filed under: uncultured bacterium
Lineage: Bacteria
Description: partial 16S ribosomal RNA
Rfam family: Bacterial small subunit ribosomal RNA
Source: RNAcentral